Long non-coding RNA from Micropterus dolomieu (smallmouth bass), 1570 nucleotides. RefSeq lists it as uncharacterized. NCBI's taxonomy places the organism in Eukaryota, Metazoa, Chordata, Actinopteri, Centrarchiformes, Centrarchidae. The record is from RefSeq and is a predicted model, not a curated record. The transcript has 5 exons.
GAAGUAGGCGGGUCUUCAUUCCCCAGGGACACAGCCUACUUGGUAGAGGUGAGACAGGGAAAAGAGAAAACACAAGGGUGACAGCGACAGCCGUGACACAGGCAAAUGAAGAACAAAUUGUGAAAGCCAAAAAAGUGAUGUGGUGAAACAGGAAGUUUAGUCUUUAUCAAGAUGAAUGUCUCAAAAACAGCAAGCAAAUGUUUGUUACUGUCUGAGUUUGACAAAGAAAUCAGGACACUGACAGCUGUUAAUUUUGGCUUUAGUUUUUUUUAACUAAAUUAACAAUGUGGCAAACAUGUCUUUGUGCAAACGUAAUGUUCACACUGGUAACGUUAACUUUACAAUAACUUGCAAGCUGCUAAAAAUCAGGCGUUCACAAGUAUGGAGAUCUACAUCACCAGUUAUACAUAAAUGAUCAAUUUGUACUCAAUCCUUAAUGGAAAUGGUAAUCGUGGCAUGUACAAAUUACUUCUGAAUGAAAACUGUUCACAGGUAUAAAAAUCCACUCUGCAUCAGUUGACUCCAGGAUGCUUAGCACCAAUCGCCUCUAAACCAAACUCCACUCUCCAACCUUCAGUCCCAUCAGUCUCCAAAGGGAUGACAAAACAGACUUUAAGCUCCAGUUUAGGAAGCUCAAAACCUUCAUCAGCCUCUUCUGAAGCCACCAAGCAGACUCAGCAGCAACAGACACACCAGCUGCAGGUCCAGCCACAGGUGCGCUGCUGUAUGUGGGUCUGAGUGUGGUCGUCAUGAUCAUCAUAUUAUCAGCAGCUGUACUGAUAUUCUGCAGGAAGAGGCCCAGUAAACCCAAAGAACCUCCUGUGGAAUCUGAGUAUUCUACUGUCACAAAACCUGACGGAGUAAAUGAGGAGAUCAGAGAGGAGGACAGACGAGGUUUACACUUGUGGCAAAUACGCCAAACCAAAUGGAGUUGAGACCACAGAUGACUAUAGCUUUGUCACUGCGGCAAGUUCUAAGAAGACGAAGAAGUAUAGAAACAUAAUCUACAGUGCCUCAAAAGAAAAUAAAAGCUUUAAAUUGCUAUUAAAACUAGAACAAUUUUCAGGUGGAUUUUUCCAAUGGUACAGCUGCCUUGCUCAACAGCGCCCGCUGUGGUCAUGCAGAUAAUGUCGUCUACUCUGUGCCUCAGGUAGAAGCUAGCUCGGAUGGCAGCCAUGCUGAAGACGCUUCUCCUCCUCCUCUGUACUCUGCUGUUAUUUUACAUCAGCAAUAGCUCCAUGUAGGCCAACAGGUGAACACACAAUACAAUAAAAAUUCAAAUUAGAGCUACUUUUACUUUUUAUUUAGUUCAGCUUAUCCUAAAUAUUUUGGUUAAGUAAAUCAUUUGUAAAGAACAAGUUACUGUUAAAGGUCCAGUGUGUAAUAUUUCUGAGGAUCUAGUGACAGAAAUGCAAUAUUACAUCCAUAACUAUGUUUUCAGGCCUUACAUAAUGAAACGUUAUGUUUUUUUAUUACCUUAGAAUGAGCCAUUUUUUAUCUACAUAACCGCGGGUCCCCCCUGAAAUGGACAUUGCCAUGUUGCACUGCUGUGUUUCUACAGUCAGCCAAA